GAGUUUGAUCCUGGCUCAGAUUGAACGCUGGCGGCAUGCCUAACACAUGCAAGUCGAACGGUAACAGGUCUUCGGGUGCUGACGAGUGGCGGACGGGUGAGUAAUGCGUAGGAAUCUGUCUUUUAGUGGGGGACAACCCAGGGAAACUUGGGCUAAUACCGCAUGAGCCCUGAGGGGGAAAGCGGGGGAUCUUCGGACCUCGCGCUAAGGGAGGAGCCUACGUCUGAUUAGCUAGUUGGUAGGGUAAAGGCCUACCAAGGCGACGAUCAGUAGCUGGUCUGAGAGGACGACCAGCCACACUGGGACUGAGACACGGCCCAGACUCCUACGGGAGGCAGCAGUGGGGAAUUUUUCGCAAUGGGGGCAACCCUGACGAAGCAAUGCCGCGUGGAUGAAGAAGGCCUUCGGGUUGUAAAGUCCUUUCGUGGGGGACGAAAAGGCGGGUCCUAAUACGAUCUGCUGUUGACGUGAACCCAAGAAGAAGCACCGGCUAACUCCGUGCCAGCAGCCGCGGUAAUAC
RNAcentral lists this ribosomal RNA (520 nucleotides) under uncultured bacterium. RNAcentral's name for it is "bacterial SSU rRNA". It matches the Rfam family "Bacterial small subunit ribosomal RNA", at positions 9 to 526 of the family's 1533-position model. The record is from RNAcentral.